This 520-nucleotide long non-coding RNA is filed under the name Musa acuminata (dwarf banana). RNAcentral describes it as "long non-coding RNA (MACU_LNC001518)". Lineage: Eukaryota; Viridiplantae; Streptophyta; Magnoliopsida; Zingiberales; Musaceae. The record is from RNAcentral.
UGGUGGUGAGCUGAGUGGAGGAGGUGGAGAAUGGACAACAGGAGGAGGAGGAGGAGUAGGAGAUGAAGUUGGCAGUGGAGGAGAGAAGAAUGAAGGCGGGUGUGAGGCAAGUGGUGGCGGAGGAGAAGAUGCCGGUGGCGAUGGUGGUGAGCUGAGUGGAGGAGGUGGAGAAUGGACAACCGAAGGAGGAGAGAAGAUUGGAGGCGGGGUUGAGGCAAGUGGUAUCGUAGGAGAAUGCACUGAUGAUGGAGGUGAAGAUGCCGGUGGUGGUGAGCUGAGUGGAGGAGGUGGAGAAUGGACAACUGCUGGAGGAGAAGAUGAAGCUGGUGGUGGUGGAGAAUGUACUGGCGGUGGGGAUGGGUAUACUGGUGAUGGUGGAUGUGAUGCUAUCGGUGGAGGUGGUGGAGAGCUGACUGGACGAGGUGGAGGUGGUGAGUAAUUCGUUGUUGGUGGUGAUACUACUAGUGUAGGUGGAGUGUUAUUUGAUGCAGGAGGAUGGGCCAUUGGUGGAGGUGGUGAG